AUCUGUUUCAUCACCAGAGUGAGUCUGUGUUUGGACAGGCAAUCUACCGUGCCUGUUGAGGUUUGGGAGUGGCACGAGCAGUCAUGUGGCAUCCAGCGACGUUGGCUUCAUAUGGUCAGAGUCACGACAGAGAGAGCGGCCACUACAGCCACCACACUAGUGCUCUGAAUUCUUCCCCAUCUCAGCACCCACCCAUGAGCUCCAUGGUGGGUCAUCCAUCCGUCAUCAGUUCCUCCCGCCCACUGCAGUCCCCCAUGAACACGCUGGGUUCCUCCAUAAAUGGCCUAACCUCACCCUACCCUGUCAUCACCCCGUCUUUGGGAUCACCAUCCAUUUCCUUGCCCUCUACACCCAGUAUGGGCUAUAACAAUCUCAGCAGCCCACAGAUGAACUCUUUGAAUGUGACUAGCUCAGAGGACAUCAAGCCCCCUCCAGGAUUGGCUCCAAUGGGCAACAUGAGCAACUAUCAGUGCGGUAGCCCUGGAUCCCUGUCCAAACACAUGUGUGCCAUUUGCGGGGACCGAUCUUCAGGGAAGCACUAUGGUGUUUAUAGUUGUGAAGGCUGCAAAGGCUUCUUUAAGAGAACUAUCCGAAAAGACCUGACCUACACGUGUCGAGACAACAAAGAGUGCCUAAUAGACAAACGGCAGCGCAAUCGCUGCCAAUAUUGCCGCUACCAGAAGUGCCUGGCCAUGGGCAUGAAGAGGGAAGCGGUCCAAGAAGAGAGGCAGCGUGGAAAAGAGAAAAGUGAUAAUGAGGUGGAAUCAACGAGCAGUUUCAAUGAGGACAUGCCUGUGGAUAAGAUUCUGGAUGCAGAGCUUGCAGUCGAACCCAAGACUGAGACAUAUACAGAGGACAUCCCAGGCAACUCAACGAAUGAUCCAGUCACUAAUAUCUGCCAUGCAGCUGACAAGCAACUGUUCACUUUGGUGGAGUGGGCCAAAAGAAUACCUAAUUUUUCUGAUCUGCCUCUGGAUGAUCAAGUCAUUCUGCUUCGAGCAGGAUGGAAUGAGCUCCUCAUCGCUUCAUUCUCUCAUCGCUCAAUCACAGUUAAAGAUGGCAUCUUAUUGGGCACAGGCCUCCAUGUCCACAGGAGCAGUGCUCACAGUGCCGGAGUGGGCUCCAUUUUCAACAGAGUACUUACUGAGCUGGUUUCUAAAAUGAAGGACAUGCAGAUGGAUAAGACAGAACUGGGCUGCCUUAGGGCCAUCGUCCUCUUCAACCCUGACGCCAAAGGCUUGUCAAACCCAGUGGAGGUAGAAGCACUCAGGGAGAAGGUUUAUGCCUCACUUGAAACUUACACCAAACAGAAAUACCCCAACCAGCCUGGCAGGUUUGCUAAACUUUUAUUGCGUCUCCCCGCUCUCCGAUCCAUCGGACUCAAGUGUUUGGAGCACCUAUUUUUCUUCAAGCUGAUUGGCGACACACCGAUAGACACUUUCCUAAUGGAGAUGCUUGAAGCCCCCCUCACGUGACACAAGUUUCAACUCAGCAUUUUUGUACAUUUGUCUAUGUAACUAAUAUAAUAAUACAUUUGAUUGAAGCUGCAUAUUUUAUGCCAAGCACAAACUGUUAUUCUUGUAAAAACUGUGGGGAGGGAAAAGAGGGGUAUGUCUUAAAAUAUACAGAUGAAAUUAAUUUUACUGGAAUGGUUUUAUUAGAAAUAUGCUUGUCUCUGUAAAUAGCUAACAUCAGGUAUCCAUUCUAAUGGCAAUAAAAUUCAAUUUUAUUUUAUUCAAUAUUUUAUUCAAAGAAUACGUUUAUCAAACCCAGACAAUAAUUUCUAAAAUGAAGUUUAGAAUUCUGUCCAAAUAAAUAUUUAAAUAUUUAAACGCUUUCUCUUUUGUGUCAUUAGUCUUUUGAAUAAUGUUUGUGUAAGAGCCUGUUGUCAGAAUUUCCUGUCCAAGUAGGACCUUAUUUUAUUAGAGCAUUCAUAUCGCAAAUAAAUAAUCAUUUACAGGUGCAGAACACCAUGCUUCACAGAUCUGCGGCAUUGUGUCCAGCCCACCAGAUGGCGCUGUUUUGGACGAUUACAAACCACAAUUUUAAUCUUCUCAACACGUGAGCGAAUGUAAUAAAGGACUGGCUUUUUCUAGCACUGUAACUGCUGAGACAGUACAUUUAUGAAGCCAGUUUGGGACACUGUAAACUCUACAUGGAACUUGGUGCUGCUGAUGGGAGGAGGAAGAGGAGCGUUAGAGAGAGAGAGAGAGAGAGAGAGAGAGAGAGAGAGAGA
This is an RNA transcript of Myxocyprinus asiaticus (Chinese sucker), 2236 nucleotides long. It is a transcript of the gene named retinoic acid receptor RXR-gamma-B, with no coding region annotated. Lineage: Eukaryota; Metazoa; Chordata; Actinopteri; Cypriniformes; Catostomidae. The record is from RefSeq and is a predicted model, not a curated record. The transcript has 11 exons.